AUUUAUUAUCGAUGUCCCCGUCCUGCAGUUAACCCCUGUUUCCACAAGGAGCACAUCCAUACAUCCAUGACACUCGUACCAGGGCUGACACACAUUUGUCGACCCCAUUCUUGCCGUCAGAGUGGUUGUGCGAUCCACGUGGUGAGCACCAGCACCCCAGUGACCAGACACUUUGCCAAGUAGUGCACGUCCUUGCAGAGCUAGUGUCCUAGCGGUCAUUUGUCCACGGUAUGGGCCACGAUGAAGGUGCCUAAAUCCCAGGGUGCUCUGAGAAUACCAGUCUCGUGCAUCAAAGGAAAGCUGUCCAUGUCAGGACCAUUUACAGGUGAAAGGUGAAGCUUGACAUGCUUGUUAAGAAUUCAAAAAUCAGGAAAGAAGAAAUGCAUAUAUUCUUUCUCUAAUAAGAGAGAGGGACCACGCUUGUCAGAUUAUUACCUGUGCAUUUGAGAAGUGUCAGACCUCCAAGCUGCUGGCACCUGAAGGAUCACCAGAGAGCCAGACACAGGACCUUGGGUUAAAGAUGUGAAUAAUGUCCUGCAAACUUCCAGCCCCAAGGGAUGAGAAGUCUGACAUCAUAAAAAUUAAUCAGAGAAAAUGGAUGCAGUAAAAGGCCAAGUUGAA
This is a long non-coding RNA of Catharus ustulatus (Swainson's thrush), 621 nucleotides long. RefSeq lists it as uncharacterized. The record is from RefSeq and is a predicted model, not a curated record. Lineage: Eukaryota; Metazoa; Chordata; Aves; Passeriformes; Turdidae. The transcript has 4 exons.